GUCACACUUGACACUUCACACCAUUCACCAAAAUAACUGGUCAUGCUCGUUUAUUAAUCAAAAUAAAACAUUGCACAAUUCGCAGCGGAUAGAAAUCUAACAACAUGCAAACCAUGUAACACAUUACAUGUAAAAUUGUUCAACAACCAAAAAUGAAAACAAAGUAAAACAUCCCGUCCCGAUGUUACAUAUACCAGAGCAUGACCCACUAAGGAACUACACUAGACUCCAAGCACUAGCUUCUACUCAAUCACUGCUCGUUACCUGAAACAUAGUUGUAAGGGUGAGUUCCUCAAUCGAUAUAAUAAGCAUUAUAAAAUAUCAUGUAAUGCUAAGUAAAUUAACACAUUCAUCACCCUAAUCAUAUCACACAUUCAGCAACGGCAACAUCAACUCAUAAUCAUACUCAACACAAACACAAAACACACGUAUAAUAUUGGAAUACAUCCAUUCAUAUUAUACGCCAUACAUACAUUAUGAAAUGAGACUCCAUGCAUGCGGUACCGACUAUUCGUGAACACAUAGUUCAACCUCACCGAUCAAACCCAGAUACGGCUACCAAGCUCACUAGUCCCACUCAUUUGAGACCUAGUGACUCACUCACUAAUUCCUCACCAUGGGAAUUAGCUACCACCAUAAAGGCCAUGCUAUGCACGCUAAAUCACCUAGCAUGCAAACAUCAACAACAAUCCACAAUGGACAUAUGCUCACACUCUAAGCCAUAAACAGUCCAUCCACAAUUGCAUACAUAAUAGAUAUAUUCACAGCAUUAUGCAUACCAUCAUACAUCAUCAGCAUAUUUAUCACAGAAUCAUAUCAUGUCAUGCCAAAUAAUAAAUCACAGUAUUAGCACACUCUACUAAUACCUAUACUGCUCAAAACAACGGGAAAUGAUCCCUACUAUAUCAUACAUGCAAUAUAUCAUUCACCAAUAUAGGCCAAUCGUCAAAUAUGUACACAUAAUUCCAUUCCAAAACGUACACAAUAUUUAAUUAUCAAUUUUUCACUUUUCAAACAGUGUUAACCCGUUAACGCAUUUGGUUAACCUGUUAACGCAAGACAAAAUACAAUUUUUCAGUAUUUCAACAGUGUUAACCGGUUAACGCCCUGGGUUAACCUGUUAACGCAAGACAGAAUGCACUUCUAACAGGAUUUUAACAGUGUUAACCGGUUAACGCCCUGGGUUAACCUGUUAACGCAAGACAGAAUGCAAUUCUAACAGGAUUUUAACAGCGUUAACCUGUUAACGCAUUUGGUUAACCCGUUAACGCAAGACAGAAUACGUUUUUGGCAAAUUAUAACAGUGUUAACCCGUUAACGCCCUGGGUUAACCCGUUAACGCAAAACAGAAAUUAACGCAUUUUUCGCCGUUGGAGGACUUCCGGACCUCCGAUUUCGAUUCCGUAAAAAGCUACACUUCCAGGAAAUUACGACUCAUCCAAAUAUAGGUUCAUUCACAGUUUUAACGUAAUUUAUUCAUCACCAUUCCAAGGUAUUCAUCAAAACCUAAUUAGAGUCGAUUCAAUGGCUUAUUACUACCCAUUACAUGUUAACCCAUAAUACCCAUUAAACGACGAUAAACCCCCUUACCUGAGUAAAUCCGGCGAAUCCUUUAACUUCAAGCUUUUCCCUUCUUCAACCCUUUUUCUCUUGCUCUUCCUUUUUGCCCCUUUUCCACUUCUUAGUCGCUUCUCUCUGUUUUCACGUGCCGAUAGAAAACUCUCUCUAGCCUUUCCACUUCCUUCUUAUAAUAACAAAAUUCUUAAAUUGGAUUUCUCUCUUCUACCCUCGAUUAUUCAUAAAAUUUCCAAUUUUAUUAUUCCAAUAAUAAUAAUCCAAUAAUAUUCCAAUUAUUUAAUUAAAUUAAUAAUUAUCAUAUUUUAUCGGGGUGUUACAUUUACGGGGCAGAGAGAAGUCAGGGUCAACAACCGACCUACAACUCCUUUAGAAGUAAGGAUUCAAUGGUCCACCAUUGACUAAGUGAGAUGUGACCUUUUCCAAGGAAAUCAUAGACCAAAAGCCUCUAUAAAUACCUCCUCCCAAAGGGAGGUAAGGGAGAACCUAAUUGACACGUUUAUACCUAAGCGUGAAACACAUAUAUAAAGCCUCUCACCUCACAUCAGCAUGUCCUCUAAACAACCAUACAAAGCUUUUUGCGGUCGUGGACAAGUCCUAACCACCAUACAUGACUUCUCACCAUAAUGGGCAAGCGCUAACCACCAUACAACAUAAGAUACCUAAUAAGGUGUCUGAGUGCCCUUACCUUGCAUAGGUAACAUGCACACCUGCACUUUUUGACCAAUACAAAAUGCUUUGAUUUAUUUAGCAAUUUUUUUGAUAUUAAACAUAGUUUUACAUAUAUAUACAACUUUGUAUUUUUUUUUUAAAUGAGACCUUCUAUUUUUGAGGCCAUGUAUUAAUCUGUUUGCUCUUUUAUAUAGGACCGGCUCUAAAAAUAAUUGAUGUCUUAUUGCCCGAGUGUCUUUUGUAGAUUUAUCUUAUUAAGAGAAACAAGAAUUUUUUUAAAAGUGAAAUAAUAAUGUCCAAAAAAUUUUAAAAAAGAAAUUCUUAAAUUUAUUUUUUAAGUACCAGCAUCUUAACUUACAAAAUAAUUAUACACUUGAAAAUAAAAUAGUUCUCUUUCAACUUUAAUGUUCUGGUAACUCACAUAAACACAAAAACACACGACACCUCAUAACAAAAGCCUUGCCGCAUAUAUUAGAAUCACAAUCAUCAGUAGUAUAGCAGAAUAUUUUAUCUGUCAUGUUAAAUAAAAAUUAAGGAAAAUAUUUAAUUAAGAUGAUUUGAAAUAUGUGUAAAGAAACUUACUAUCGCUGGUUACAAGAACAAUAAGAGAAAAAAAUAUAAUCAAAAUAUGGACGAAUUUGAAAAUUUCAGCCAUUUUCCCCCUCAAUUUCAUGUAUUAAAAAAUGACUGAUCCCUUUUU
This 2947-nucleotide long non-coding RNA is filed under the name Lathyrus oleraceus (garden pea). RNAcentral describes it as "Pisum sativum (pea) long non-coding RNA (PSAT_LNC009052)". The record is from RNAcentral. Lineage: Eukaryota; Viridiplantae; Streptophyta; Magnoliopsida; Fabales; Fabaceae.